GGGGGGGGCAUACAUGCAAGUCGAACGAAGCACUGAAAGCAGAUUACUUCGGUUUGAAGCUUUCUUUGACUGAGUGGCGGACGGGUGAGUAACGCGUGGGUAACCUGCCUCAUACAGGGGGAUAACAGUUAGAAAUGACUGCUAAUACCGCAUAAGCGCACGGUUUCGCAUGGAACAGUGUAAAAAACUCCGGUGGUAUGGGAUGGACCCGCGUCUGAUUAGCUGGUUGGCGGGGUAACGGCCCACCAAGGCGACGAUCAGUAGCCGGCCUGAGAGGGUGAACGGCCACAUUGGGACUGAGACACGGCCCAGACUCCUGCGGGAGGCAGCAGUAGGGAAUUUUCGUCAAUGGGCGCAAGCCUGAACGAGCGAUGCCGCGUGAGUGAAGAAGGCCUUCGGGUCGUAAAGCUCUGUUGCGGGGGAAAAAAGGCAGCAUCAGGAAAUGGGUGCUGACUGAUGGUGCCCCGCCAGAAAGUCACGGCUAACUACGUGCCAGCAGCCGCGGUAAUACGUAGGUGGCGAGCGUUAUCCGGAAUGAUUGGGCGUAAAGGGUGCGCAGGCGGUCCUGCAAGUCUGGAGUGAAACGCAUGAGCUCAACUCAUGCAUGGCUUUGGAAACUGGAGGACUGGAGAAUCACUAGUGAAUU
Molecule: ribosomal RNA, 646 nt
Filed under: uncultured bacterium
Lineage: Bacteria
Description: bacterial SSU rRNA
Rfam family: Bacterial small subunit ribosomal RNA
Source: RNAcentral